Molecule: long non-coding RNA, 325 nt
Filed under: Solanum lycopersicum (tomato)
Lineage: Eukaryota; Viridiplantae; Streptophyta; Magnoliopsida; Solanales; Solanaceae
Description: long non-coding RNA (SLYC_LNC000960)
Source: RNAcentral
ACACACAAGCACCAAGACCCAUAAGAGCUACAGCACCAAGAGGUAAAGGUUGAGUAAUAAUCCCAACAAUUGUAGCUAGAAAGAUAGCCAAUAACUGCCAUGCAUUUUUUGUAACACCAGCAGGUGCAGGGAUAAACCAGAGAAUAACCCCUGUUGCUAUUGAAGCAAUCAAAGGCUUCAUUGCUGCACCUUGCCAUGGAGGCUGCUGCUGUGGAACUAUUGCAGGGGAAGAAGAAGCUGAAGCUGAAGCUGAAGCCUUUACAAUAACCCUUCUUGAUUUCUCAAGAUUCAAUCUUUUCCCUCCAAGAUUCAAGCUUUUUCCAAG